UCCGCACAACACUAAAAAAUUUCUUUGAGCAGAAUAGAAUUCCGGUCUAGGACUGAGCCUCCUAAGCAGUGUCGCUAGAUUUCUCCUCGAAGCUAGCCCGUCCUAUCGAUCAACUUGAACGACUGAAUCAAAUCAGAGUAAUAAUUGCAACAAGUUCCCGGGGAGAACACUGAAAGAGGUGGGGAGACUUCGCUUGGGUUACCAUACGAUGCAUCAAAGAAAGAGGAAGAAGCACGAGAGCUGAAAGAAGAAGGUUCAGAUCUGGAGACAUAAGUAUUGGUGCCAAGUUACCUUCGUUAGGUCUUCAAGCCUACGCCUUGGUUCAGUCAACAAUUGAACAAGCGAUUAAGACACAUUGAGGGUCACGGGAAAGAGAAUCUCACGGGAAACAUCAAUUGGGAGAUCGUAGGAGUCAACACCUUAAUAAAGCUCAAGUCCUGAAGAAAUUAUUUACAAAGCACCACAAAAAGGAAGGAAUAAAGGCUGACAUGGAAACAGAUUAGAUCAAUGAAGGAAGAUCUUGAAACAAAGCUGACCAUAACGAGAGCUAAGCUCAACGACACACACAAGGGUUACGAAAAUCUUAAUCAUCACAUCUAAAGAAACAACAAUACUUUCUUUUGUCUAUAAAUCUCAUCACUUUCUUAUGAGUUUUUUGCACUGUUGAAACAGCUAAACCAAUGCAAUUCUAAAAAUGUUAAUAAAGAGAUUCACAAUACACACACUAAGAGCAAGUCCAUCGGCGUCUCUUCCCGAAAAGUUUAA
Long non-coding RNA from Brassica oleracea var. oleracea, 765 nucleotides. RefSeq lists it as uncharacterized. The record is from RefSeq and is a predicted model, not a curated record. The transcript is spliced from 4 exons. Lineage: Eukaryota; Viridiplantae; Streptophyta; Magnoliopsida; Brassicales; Brassicaceae.